GCUGCGGCUCCUAGAGCCCAAGGAAAUCUGCGGCCCGCUGGGGCGGGGUGGGGGCCACCAGCCUGGCAGCACUCCGGGACUCCGCCUCGCGCCCGGGCCCCCUCCCCAGCCAGCUGGAGCCCUGCGCCCGCCCUGCGCCUGCUCUGGGGACCGCCCGCUCCUCCUCUCCACUCCGCUGCUCGCUGCCUCCCUCGGCAGAGUUUGCCUCCACCUUCCUAUAAAGUUUUCUCCCGCCCACCUUCUCUGCUGCCUUCCCAAGUUGGACUCGCUUUUGGGGUGUCCCAAAAGCCCGAUUCCAGGGCCUGCUAGCCCGACCCAGGUGACGCUUCCACCAGCCCCCGGCACCAGCCUUCCCCUGCGCUCGCUCGCGGCUCUCCCGGGCACACCCUCCGGCAGAAAACAGCCGGCAGCCAGGGAGACUUUGGGCAGAGCCCUGGUUCCUCUCCCGCACCCCGGCCCCUCUCCCGGUCUCCCUGAGAGUGCGCAGCCUACAAGCACCAGUUUCUCUUUUGAACAAGGACAGGGAGGGAGUUGGGUGGGGGCUGAAACCUUUUGCCAUCAGCGAACAGCCCCAGCCAAAAAUAACCCUGGAAAGGCGAGCUGAGAAUGGUUAUCUCCUGCCAGCGCUGAAAUCGGAGUCUGGGCGCUGUGUGUGUGUGUCCGUGUGUGUGUGUGUGUGUGUGUGUGUGUCUGUGUCGCUGUGUGUGGGGUGUGUGUGUACCCUCCCACCGCGACCAUUUGUUGAAGGGAAUCACCACUGUCAACCUUCAAUUCAGCAAGACCCCUUGAGCCGUCCACAUUUUCCCCAGCCUCUUCCAAGGCAGCACACUUUCCGGCUGAAGGAAAGAAGAAUGGUAUUCAUGCGUUCCCAUUUUACAGAUGAAAACAAGAGGACUUUCUUUGUGAACUCGAGAAAGUGGUUAAGAUGGGACUUUCAGCCUGUCCAAAUUACAUAUUGCUCCUCCCCUUUUUAUUAAUAAUAUUGAAGUGUGAUGGGGAAACCCCUGAAGCCAUCAACUGAAACCUGCCAGGACUUUUCAGCCAUUCUCUUCAACAUAAAGAAUGGGGGUUCUUACAGGCAGCGAGAGGAAGGGGGAAAUGUGGUCAAAGAGUACAGUGUUUUAGUUGAGACAGGAAGAAUAUAUUUUGUUGAGAUCUACAGCACAGCAUGGUGACUGUAAUUGAAGUAUUGUAUAUUUCAAAAUUGCUAAGACAGUACAUUUCAAAUGUUCUCACCAUGAAAAAUGAUAGUUUUUUGAGGUGAUGGACGUAUUAAUUCUCCAGAUUUAAUUAUUCCACAAUGUAUGCAUGUAUUAUAACAUCACAUUAUACCCCAGAUACAUACAAUUUUAAUUUGUCAAUUAACAAUUUUUAAAAGAAUAGUGUGACAAGUUGGGGAAGUUUGUUUUUGGUUUUUAUUUACCCCUCUAGUCUCUACUCAGUCUUCAAGAGGCCAUUCUCUAUAAAGUUUCUGUCACCCAGCUAGAGUGCUGUGGCACAAUCAUGGCUCACUCUACCCUCUCCCUCCUGGGCUCAAGCGAUCCUCCCACCUCAGGCCCUCAAGUAUCUAGGACUACAGGUACACACCAUCACACCCAGUUAAUUUUCAUAGUUUUUGUUGGAAUGGAGCUUCACCAUGUUGCUCAGGCUGGUCUUGAACUUCUUAGCUCAAGCGAUCUACCAGCUUUGGCCUCCCAAAAUGCUGGGAUUACAGGUGUGAGCCACCAAGCCCAGUCCGUGAAGUUUCUAACCUUUUAUUGGUAUAUUUGAGAGUCUUGGCUUAGCACCCAACAGACAGAACCUUAGCACUUCUAGGGACCUUUGCAUAUCUAUACCCUGUGGGUUUUUAAGAUCUCUUUCUAAUGACAUUUUGUUUUGCAAAGAAGGACAGUUUCAUUCCCAGAAGAGCAGGUAUGGUAAGUCUUUUGUCCCAGUAAGGAAGACAGUGAUGCAACUCCUAAGGCUCAGAGAUGCCCAGAAGCCUCCAGGCCUCCAUCUCUCUGCUGCUAGCAUCUCCCUCUCUUUUGACGUCAACAUCAUUCUCUUCUCUCACAGCCCAGCUCCUUCCACAGACUCAGGGACUAGGCACUGGCAUCUCAGACUAGAUAUUAGAGAAUUACCAUUCAAGAGGAAAUCUUAUUCCCUGGUUCCAAUUUCAAGGUUCUCAAAAACUGUAACAGGUCUAGUUUGAGGCAAUGUAUCCCAUGAAAUAGCCAGAAAGAACCCCACAGUGAAAGGAAAACAAUUCUUCCAAAGUAAGAGAGGAGAGAUGGGCAACCAAGCAGUAACUGGGCCACCACAUACUUCACACUCACUGAUCAAGGCUUUCUAAAACUAUUUUUCUUUUCUCUGAAUUUAUAUAGUACUUUGUAUCACUCAUAAAGGAAAGUCUUAUAGGCUGAUAACACCUAUCUAUUCAUGCUUAUUCCUAACAUUUAAGUUAGGAUAAUUUUCUAACCUCAGUGUCCUCACUAUAAAAUGGGAAUUAUUAUAAUCCCUACCUCAUAAAUUAUUGGGAGGAUUAAAAUACUUAGUAAAGUGCCUAACAGAAAGGCAUUCAGUAAAUGUUAGCUAUUCAUAGUGUCAUCAUCAUUAUAUUUAGCAAUAGUACUAAUCUCCUGUAUUGCAAGAAUUACCGUUUAUAUUUUUGUAGACCAUCACUCUAGCUAAAGCAUCUUUGGGCAUAGGUGAUAUUCCAUAAAUGUUGCUUGAAUUGAUCUGUGGCUUUUGACUAUGGAAACUCAAAAUAUAUGGAGUAAGUUUAUCUUGAAAUGUACAAAAGAGGUUUGCCUGCUAAAUAAAUCUCUCCAAAGCUGGCCCCAAGUUUAACUGAAUUAAUUCCAAUGAAUUUGUCAUAAUGAUGAAGAAAGGAAACU
Molecule: long non-coding RNA, 2876 nt
Organism: Callithrix jacchus (white-tufted-ear marmoset)
Lineage: Eukaryota; Metazoa; Chordata; Mammalia; Primates; Cebidae
Source: Ensembl